Molecule: ribosomal RNA, 1040 nt
Filed under: Arthrobacter tecti
Lineage: Bacteria; Bacillati; Actinomycetota; Actinomycetes; Micrococcales; Micrococcaceae
Description: bacterial SSU rRNA
Rfam family: Bacterial small subunit ribosomal RNA
Source: RNAcentral
UUCGGGUUGUAAACCUCUUUCAGUAGGGAAGAAGCGAAAGUGACGGUACUGCAGAAGAAGCGCCGGGCUAACUACGUGCCAGCAGCCGCGGUAAUACGUAGGGCGCAAGCGUUAUCGGGAAUUAUUGGGCGUAAAGAGCUCGUAGGCGGUUUGUCGCGUCUGCCGUGAAAGUCCGGGGCUUAACUCCGGAUCUGCGGUGGGUACGGGCAGACUUGAGUGAUGUAGGGGAGACUGGAAUUCCUGGUGUAGCGGUGAAAUGCGCAGAUAUCAGGAGGAACACCGAUGGCGAAGGCAGGUCUCUGGGCAUUAACUGACGCUGAGGAGCGAAAGCAUGGGGAGCGAACAGGAUUAGAUACCCUGGUAGUCCAUGCCGUAAACGUUGGGCACUAGGUGUGGGGGACAUUCCACGUUUUCCGCGCCGUAGCUAACGCAUUAAGUGCCCCGCCUGGGGAGUACGGCCGCAAGGCUAAAACUCAAAGGAAUUGACGGGGGCCCGCACAAGCGGCGGAGCAUGCGGAUUAAUUCGAUGCAACGCGAAGAACCUUACCAAGGCUUGACAUGAACCGGAACGGCGCAGAGAUGUGUCGGCCACUUGUGGCCGGUUUACAGGUGGUGCAUGGUUGUCGUCAGCUCGUGUCGUGAGAUGUUGGGUUAAGUCCCGCAACGAGCGCAACCCUCGUUCCAUGUUGCCAGCGGGUUAUGCCGGGGACUCAUGGGAGACUGCCGGGGUCAACUCGGAGGAAGGUGGGGACGACGUCAAAUCAUCAUGCCCCUUAUGUCUUGGGCUUCACGCAUGCUACAAUGGCCGGUACAAAGGGUUGCGAUGCUGUGAGGUGGAGCUAAUCCCAAAAAGCCGGUCUCAGUUCGGAUUGAGGUCUGCAACUCGACCUCAUGAAGUCGGAGUCGCUAGUAAUCGCAGAUCAGCAACGCUGCGGUGAAUACGUUCCCGGGCCUUGUACACACCGCCCGUCAAGUCACGAAAGUUGGUAACACCCGAAGCCGGUGGCCUAACCCCUUGUGGGAGGAGCCGUCGAAGGACC